Molecule: long non-coding RNA, 358 nt
Filed under: Brassica rapa (field mustard)
Lineage: Eukaryota; Viridiplantae; Streptophyta; Magnoliopsida; Brassicales; Brassicaceae
Description: long non-coding RNA (BRAP_LNC004407)
Source: RNAcentral
UUAAAACACGGCAGGUGAAGAGAAGAACUGAACUUGUCUUCAUCUCAAACCCCUAAAACCUUCAACUGCUCCUCACAACACCACCUCACUGCUUCACCGUUGCAGAACCAAAGACCAACCAAGACCAACUCUAAAAUCCAAGACAGGUUAACCGGGUUCAACCCCUAACAAAGAGUUGCAACACUACCCAAAACCGAUUGUAGACACAACGGCCACAUCACAACAGAGACACCAAGGCUCAGAUUUUUACCUCGCUAGGAGACGCAGAUGGAGGCCGGAGAAGGGACCAACCCUUAACCACCACCGACAAACACCACUCUACGCACCCAGAACUACAAGAGGUUUACAGAUCUGAGAA